This is a non-coding RNA of Cordylochernes scorpioides, 189 nucleotides long. The record is from the annotation of a GenBank genome assembly. NCBI's taxonomy places the organism in Eukaryota, Metazoa, Arthropoda, Arachnida, Pseudoscorpiones, Chernetidae.
UCCCUCGAGCCGGAUUUGAACCAGCGACCUAAGCAUCACCGUUGUAACAUCUACAGUCGGGUUAAACACGGGCGUUGCCCGGGUCAUUCGGCUAGUAUAUAAUAUAAAUGAGUUUUAAAAAUUGUAAAAAAAAAUGCAUCGGCCGGCUCGCGUGGCAGGCGAGCAUUCUACCACUGAACCACCGAUGAG